CUGGACACCUUGGUAGGAGCUCCCACCUCUGAGCAUUCACCACACAGAAGACAGCUUCUUUUCCAGUUCAAACAUACACCAAAAGGGAAGACAGCAGGCAAGAACCAGCUGGGAUAAGGCAUUGACACAGUGAAAAGGCAUUGGACUGGCUGUUCUGGGUGGUCCCCUCAUUUCAAGGACAGCUUUGAUGGAGGCACAAAUGCUGCUUAAGUCCAGUGGUUUGGAGUCUAUGAUGCAAAAUUGAUUCUGGAUAUAUCGCCCUACAGUGCCAGGAGACAAGUUGUUGGCUUGGGGUGCAGAUCCCUUUGUCAAACCCAGAAUAUUUCAUGUUCUUGCUAAUUCCAGGUACCUGUUCAAUUUGAGCUUG
This 367-nucleotide long non-coding RNA is filed under the name Zonotrichia albicollis (white-throated sparrow). RNAcentral's name for it is "lncRNA (ENSZALG00000005784.1)". The record is from RNAcentral. Lineage: Eukaryota; Metazoa; Chordata; Aves; Passeriformes; Passerellidae.